RNAcentral lists this ribosomal RNA (410 nucleotides) under uncultured Anoxybacillus sp. RNAcentral's name for it is "bacterial SSU rRNA". It matches the Rfam family "Bacterial small subunit ribosomal RNA", at positions 980 to 1382 of the family's 1533-position model. Lineage: Bacteria; Bacillati; Bacillota; Bacilli; Caryophanales; Anoxybacillaceae. The record is from RNAcentral.
CUUGACAUCCCUGACAACCGAGAGAGUCCGGGCGGUUCCCCCGUUCCGGGGGGACGAGGGUGACAGGUGGUGGCAUGGUUGUCGUCAGCUCGUGUCGUGAGAUGUUGGGUUAAGUCCCGCAACGAGCGCAACCCUCGACCUUAGUUGCCAGCAUUCAGUUGGGCACUCUAAGGUGGCUGCCGGCUAAAAGUCGGAGGAAGGUGGGGAUGACGUCAAAUCAUCAUGCCCCUUAUGACCUGGGCUACACACGUGCUACAAUGGGCGGUACAAAGGGUCGCGAACCCGCGAGGGGGAGCCAAUCCCAAAAAGCCGCUCUCAGUUCGGAUUGCAGGCUGCAACUCGCCUGCAUGAAGCCGGAAUCGCUAGUAAUCGCGGAUCAGCAUGCCGCGGUGAAUACGUUCCCGGGCCUU